Molecule: ribosomal RNA, 859 nt
Filed under: uncultured bacterium
Lineage: Bacteria
Description: bacterial SSU rRNA
Rfam family: Bacterial small subunit ribosomal RNA
Source: RNAcentral
AGAGUUUGAUCCUGGCUCAGGACGAACGCUGGCGGCAUGCCUAAUACAUGCAAGUCGAACGCUGAAGCACUCUGCUUGCAGAGUGCAGAUGAGUGGCGAACGGGUGAGUAACACGUGGGAAAUCUGCCUAGGAGUGGGGGAUAACAUUCGGAAACGGAUGCUAAUACCGCAUAUCUUUUUGAACCGCAUGGUUCUUAAACGAAAGACGGCUUCGGCUGUCGCUCUUAGAUGAUCCCGCGGCGUAUUAGUUAGUUGGUGGGGUAAAGGCCUACCAAGACCAUGAUACGUAGCCGACCUGAGAGGGUGAUCGGCCACACUGGGACUGAGACACGGCCCAGACUCCUACGGGAGGCAGCAGUAGGGAAUCUUCCACAAUGGGUGAAAACCUGAUGGAGCAAUGCCGCGUGAAUGAAGAAGGUCUUCGGAUCGUAAAGUUCUGUUAUUAGAGAAGAACAAGUCAAGGAGUAACUGUCUUGACUUUGACGGUACCUAACCAGAAAGUCACGGCUAACUACGUGCCAGCAGCCGCGGUAAUACGUAGGUGACAAGCGUUGUCCGGAAUUAUUGGGCGUAAAGGGAGCGCAGGCGGUUGGAAUAGUCUGAUGUGAAAGCCCACGGCUUAACCGUGGAAGGUCAUUGGAAACUGUCCAACUUGAAUACAGAAGAGGUAAGUGGAAUUCCAAGUGUAGCGGUGAAAUGCGUAGAUAUUUGGAGGAACACCAGUGGCGAAGGCGACUUACUGGUCUGUAAUUGACGCUGAGGCUCGAAAGCGUGGGUAGCAAACAGGAUAAAAUACCCUGGUAGUCCCCGCCGGAAAACGAGGAGUGCUAAGGGGGUGGGGGGGUUUCCCCCCCCCUAA